This 442-nucleotide long non-coding RNA is filed under the name Nicotiana benthamiana. RNAcentral describes it as "long non-coding RNA (NBEN_LNC030765)". The record is from RNAcentral. Lineage: Eukaryota; Viridiplantae; Streptophyta; Magnoliopsida; Solanales; Solanaceae.
AUUAAAUAAAAGCGCUUAAGAGUAAAAAUUGAUACAUAGGUUCUUCACGUAAUUAAAAUCAGAUAAUAAGCUAAAUGCGAUACUUGAGCAACUGUGCUAGAACCAGGGAACGCGGAAAUUCCUAACACCUUCUCACGGGUUAACAGAAUCCCUUAUCCAGAUUUCUCAUUUGCGGACUGUGUUACAGAGUCAUAAUUUGCUCGGGUUGGGAUUCCACUGGUGACUUGGGACACCAUUAAUCUCUCAAGUGGAGACUCUGAAUAAUUAAUAAUAAAUUCCGUUUCGAUUUUCCUUUAAUUGAAAAGCUCCUUUACGCCCUUGCCGGGGUAGUGAAAAAAGAGGUGUGGCAGCUCUGGCGACUCUGCUGGGGGAAAGAACCCAAAACGUUUUGUUCAGGGUUCAAGAAUUCCAGCUUAGAUAAAUUUUUGUGUUUGGCAUUAUC